GGAGGUGAGGACAAUGGAGGUACAGCACGGCACCUCACAGAACACCACAGCUGACCUGGCUGGCUAGGUGUGGCUCCCCUUCCUCCCUCCCCACUUCAUGUGUGUCCCUCCUAAAGGAAGCUGUGAGCUCAGGUGAUCAACUGGAUGACCACCCUGGACAGAGGAGGCAUGACAAGGGUACACAAGUAGUUGUGCUCCCCUGCUUGGAUCCCCAAAUCAGUGCUCAGGGUCCAUUUGUAGGAGGAUGUAGGGUCUUUCGAAUCUCCACACUGGCUGGGGAGCCAGCUGAGU
RNAcentral lists this small nuclear RNA (291 nucleotides) under Nannospalax galili (Upper Galilee mountains blind mole rat). RNAcentral describes it as "7SK RNA (ENSNGAG00000002274.1)". It matches the Rfam family "7SK RNA". Rfam says of the family: 7SK was discovered as an abundant small nuclear RNA in the mid-70s but a possible function has only recently been suggested. Two independent studies have found that 7SK RNA binds the CDK9/cyclin T complex (known as elongation factor P-TEFb). Lineage: Eukaryota; Metazoa; Chordata; Mammalia; Rodentia; Spalacidae. The record is from Rfam by way of RNAcentral.